GCGGAUAUGGCGGAAUUGGCAGACGCGUUGGAUUUAGGAUCCAAUAUCUUCUGAUGUGCAGGUUCAAGUCCUGUUAUCCGCACCA
RNAcentral lists this transfer RNA (85 nucleotides) under Ruminococcus sp. Its description in RNAcentral is "tRNA-Leu". It matches the Rfam family "tRNA". Rfam says of the family: Transfer RNA (tRNA) molecules are approximately 80 nucleotides in length. Their secondary structure includes four short double-helical elements and three loops (D, anti-codon, and T loops). The record is from RNAcentral. RNAcentral also lists the same sequence under 4 other names. Lineage: Bacteria; Bacillati; Bacillota; Clostridia; Eubacteriales; Oscillospiraceae.